CCCUUAGAUGUUCUGGGCUGCACACGUGCUACACUGGCAGGUUCAGCGAGCUUCAUGCCCUGAUCUGAAAGGAAUGGGAAAUCUUUUCAAAACCUGCCGUGCUUGGGAUAGAUGUUUGCAAUUAUUCAUCUUCAACGAGGAUUGCCUUGUAAGCGCACGUCAACAGCGUGCAUUGAAUACGACCCUGUAUUCUGUACACACCGCCCGUCGCUCCUACCGAUUGAAGUUUUCGGUGAGUUGACAGGAGGAUUUUUUUGAAACUGGUUCGCCAGUGGAUUUUAGAUCCAAAUGCCAACGAAUCGAUGGCUUUAGAGGAAGGAGAAGUCGUAACA
RNAcentral lists this ribosomal RNA (332 nucleotides) under uncultured eukaryote. RNAcentral describes it as "partial 18S ribosomal RNA". It matches the Rfam family "Eukaryotic small subunit ribosomal RNA", at positions 1470 to 1796 of the family's 1831-position model. The record is from RNAcentral.